CUGCCCCCCCCCCCCCAGUCAAGCCGCUGGGCACACCCUAAUCGGAAAUUGGCUCAUAACAAUGUAACCCUGCUUUGUGCCCACAGUUUUGGCGCCAAACUGCGUGCCAAUUCUGACCAAAGUAAUAGGCCAGCUCAAAUGGAUACUAUAGGGUAAGAUGUAAUUCAAUUGGCCACCUGCGUGUGGACCGACAUGACUGUGCAACUUUCUGUGUAUCCCAUGGGCCACUGGCCCUUAUAAAGCUGCUACACCUCUUAGUCUCGGGGUCCAAGUCCCUGCUCUGCUGGGUGGGGUAUACUUGGACCCAAGCUCAAGCUUGUAAAUAAACCCCCUUGUGUUUGCAUAGGUGUCGGCUCCUCGGUGGUUUCUGGGAUUCACAAUCUUGGGCACAACAGUGUGUACGAGUGGGAGUGGGGGUCCCAGAAGAAAAAGAGUAAGGAAAAUACGUGCGUUCCGCCUGGAAAUUUUUAGGGCAACUUGAACUUGUUCAGAACCACCCCUAAUCCCAUCGUGCGCUGAACUGUAAGGAAGUACAUCCAGUUCCCAGGUACCCGGCUCAGCUGAUGCUGGGCACCCAAGGGGCUUCCCACCGAGAUGCGGUCGCUGCCAAUGGCGAAGGCGACAAGGGCCUCCUCUGCUGCAGAAAAACAUUUUCUUUUCUUUUUAAAAAAGAUUUUAUUUAUUCAUGAGAAACACACACACAGAGAGAGAGAGAGGCAGAGGGAGAAGCAGGCUCCAUGCAGGGAGCCCGACGUGUGACUCGAUCCUGGGACUCCAGGAUCAUGCCCCGGGCUGAAGGCAGGCACUAAACCCACUGAGCCACCCAGGGAUCCCAAGAAACAGUUUCAAAUCCAAAAGAUUCUGACUUCAUCAUUCACAGCAAGGGCGGCUCCUUCGGCAGACGUGCCCUGCUGAGCUGCUCCUACGGGGCCCAUCGCAGGUGUUCCCGUUGUCUCCACCCCAAGGUCGUGCAGCAAACCUGCUCUCCAGCAGUCGGGUCCCACCCGUCCCCCUCACGUGUUCCUGAACUACACGCCGAACACCUGCUGGGGGCGGGCCCUUUUCAGGAGGUGGGGAUUCGGUGGCAAACACGGCCCAUUCUCAGGAAUCUUCAAAACGAGUGGGACCCGGAGGGGACCCUCGUAGCCGAGCCCAAGCCCCAGAGCCGCGAACGACAGCAGCCCGCCGCGGUCCCAGCCACGCACGGAGUGGGCAGGCCCGGGAGCAACGCUAAGAGGCCGACAGGACCCGUACACGCGACCACCCGGACGCCAGCUUGAGCUGCUACCAAAUGUCUACGACCCUGG
RNAcentral lists this long non-coding RNA (1307 nucleotides) under Canis lupus familiaris (dog). RNAcentral describes it as "lncRNA (ENSCAFG00000051883.1)". Lineage: Eukaryota; Metazoa; Chordata; Mammalia; Carnivora; Canidae. The record is from RNAcentral.